GGCUGUUGUUGCAACUAAAGAUUACAGAUCAAUUGUCUUUCAAGAACCACGCUUUGUUGAGUACUUUCGCCUUGCCACUCCUGAGUUGGAAUAUGGCAGGAUGAACAUUGGUAGCCGGCCGGCGAAACGAAAGCCCAGUGGGGGCAUCGAAACACUACGAGCAAUUCCAUGGAUUUUCGCAUGGACGCAGACAAGGUUUCAUCUUCCAGUCUGGCUUGGAUUUGGC
RNAcentral lists this unclassified non-coding RNA (226 nucleotides) under Hevea brasiliensis (rubber tree). The record is from RNAcentral. Lineage: Eukaryota; Viridiplantae; Streptophyta; Magnoliopsida; Malpighiales; Euphorbiaceae.